AAAUUGAAGAGUUUGAUCAUGGCUCAGAUUGAACGCUGGCGGCAGGCCUAACACAUGCAAGUCGAACGGUAACAGGAAGCAGCUUGCU
This 88-nucleotide ribosomal RNA is filed under the name Escherichia coli. Its description in RNAcentral is "partial 16S ribosomal RNA". It matches the Rfam family "Bacterial small subunit ribosomal RNA", at positions 1 to 89 of the family's 1533-position model. The record is from RNAcentral. Lineage: Bacteria; Pseudomonadati; Pseudomonadota; Gammaproteobacteria; Enterobacterales; Enterobacteriaceae. RNAcentral also lists the same sequence under 75 other names.